UAAGGGUCUUGCCCUUGUUCAGCGUUUAGAGGUCCUGCUUGGGACCUGGGUCAAAUUUAGUAGGACCUGAAGAAGACAUCCCUUCUGUAGUGAUUCCGAACCACCUGCAAGUUCAGACUGCUGAUUGCUCGCACUUGAGUUUCGGGAGCUUUAGUUCAAGAACGCUAAGGUGGUUGAGGAGUUACAAAAGGAACUGGAGAAUGCUCGAGUUCAGAUUCAGAGUGUUGAUCCUUCAUAUGACCCUUGAAAGGAUUUGGAACACAAAAGAAUCACAUUAUUUUGUUUGUGUGGAUAUAUAAUCACAGCAUCUUACCAGGGGCAGAUUUAGAUGUUAAUGGUCAUAGCACUUCAAACAGCAGCAAUUUACAACUGAACUAAGGGCAAAAAUGCAAGCAGGUGAAGGUGCCUUGGCCGUUGCGGGUGUUCGACAAAGAACAUCAAGUUUGUUGUCACCUAUGUCCGAGCGACAGACGCUUAAAGAAAAUAUUGCUGCUCCAGUUCGUUGUAGUUCCGCAACGUGUGGCCACUUUUAUCACCUGAAAUGCGUAGCUAAGCUGCUCCAGAAAAAUGAUAUGACCAAGCGACAGACGCUUAAAGAAAAUAUUGCUGCAGGGUAACCGUUUAUUUGUCCAGCUCACAAGUGUGCCAUCUGUAAGCAAACCGAAAACGGAAAAGUCGAAGAUUUGCAGUUUGCAGUUUGUUGAUGCAGAGGUUGAAGGGUUUUAUCCCAAUUCAACAGAAAUGUUGUGUACAAAGGUAUCUUUUAAAGUUUCGGUUUUUCAGUUGGAAAUGAUUCUGCUA
Helianthus annuus (common sunflower) is the source of this 801-nucleotide long non-coding RNA. RefSeq lists it as uncharacterized. The transcript is spliced from 4 exons. Lineage: Eukaryota; Viridiplantae; Streptophyta; Magnoliopsida; Asterales; Asteraceae. The record is from RefSeq and is a predicted model, not a curated record.